AGGAAAUGAUGCACCCGGUUGCAGGCGGGAACCCAGCGUUCUGCGGGCCUGGCAAGCCUCCCUGCCUCAGUGAUGACGCCGCCAUGAGAGCCGCUGAUCAGUUUGAUCUGUACUCCUCCCAGCAAAGCAAGUACAGCCACACAGUCAGCCACAAACCCAUGCUCUGUCAGAGGCAAGACCCAUUAAACGAAGCACACUUGCAGCCUACCAGUGGCAGAAACACAGAGAUAAAAGAUGAA
RNAcentral lists this long non-coding RNA (239 nucleotides) under Rattus norvegicus (Norway rat). RNAcentral's name for it is "long non-coding RNA NONRATT012773". Lineage: Eukaryota; Metazoa; Chordata; Mammalia; Rodentia; Muridae. The record is from RNAcentral.